Molecule: long non-coding RNA, 235 nt
Organism: Arachis stenosperma
Lineage: Eukaryota; Viridiplantae; Streptophyta; Magnoliopsida; Fabales; Fabaceae
Exons: 3
Source: RefSeq, a predicted model, not a curated record
AAAGAAUAAAGUGCGAGAAGUAUCAGACUAUGUUGAUAACCGCUGGCAGGUGAAGAAGGAAGUUUUACUUAAGCUUGGCUUGCCUGUUAACCCUGAAAAGAGAAGCAUUGCUGCAUUUUUCUUCAAAAGAUGCUUGCCACCUGCGGAUGGAAGUGUGAGACCCGGUGAAAUUUCACCAAUAUCAUCCCUGAAAUCACAUUCUGGCAGUAAUCAAGAACAGCAGCAGAGUUCGUAC